This 440-nucleotide ribosomal RNA is filed under the name uncultured bacterium. RNAcentral describes it as "partial 16S ribosomal RNA". It matches the Rfam family "Bacterial small subunit ribosomal RNA", at positions 338 to 795 of the family's 1533-position model. The record is from RNAcentral.
CCUACGGGAGGCAGCAGUGGGGAAUAUUGCACAAUGGAGGAAACCCUGAUGCAGCGACGCCGCGUGCGUGAAGAAGUAAUUCUUUAUGUAAAGCUCUAUUAGCAGGGAAGAAAAUGCCGGUACCUGAAUAAGAAUCCCCGUCUAACUACGUGACAGCUGCCGCGGUAAUACGUAGGAGGCAAGCGUUAUCCGGAUUUACUGGGUGUAAAGGGGGCGUAGGCGGCACUGCAAGUCUGUAGUGAAAGGCGGGGGCUCAACCCCCGGACUGCUCUUGAAACUGUACGGCUGGAGUGCAGGAGAGGUAAGUGGAAUGCCUAGUGUAGCGGUGAAAUGCGUAGAGAUUAGGAGGAACACCAGUGGCGAAGGCGGCUUACUGAACUGUAACUGACGUUGAGGCUCGAAAGCGUGGGGAGCAAACAGGAUUAGAUACCCCGGUAGUC